This 484-nucleotide ribosomal RNA is filed under the name uncultured bacterium. RNAcentral describes it as "partial 16S ribosomal RNA". It matches the Rfam family "Bacterial small subunit ribosomal RNA", at positions 29 to 507 of the family's 1533-position model. The record is from RNAcentral.
AUUGAACGCUGGCGGCAUGCUUUACACAUGCAAGUCGAACGGCAGCGCGGGCUUCGGCCUGGCGGCGAGUGGCGAACGGGUGAGUAAUGCAUCGGAACGUGCCCAGUAGUGGGGGAUAGCCCGGCGAAAGCCGGAUUAAUACCGCAUACGACCUGAGGGUGAAAGCGGGGGACCGAAAGGCCUCGCGCUAUUGGAGCGGCCGAUGUCGGAUUAGCUAGUUGGUGGGGUAAAGGCUUACCAAGGCGACGAUCCGUAGCUGGUCUGAGAGGACGACCAGCCACACUGGGACUGAGACACGGCCCAGACUCCUACGGGAGGCAGCAGUGGGGAAUUUUGGACAAUGGGGGCAACCCUGAUCCAGCCAUGCCGCGUGCGGGAAGAAGGCCUUCGGGUUGUAAACCGCUUUUGUUCAGGAAGAAAUCCUCUGGGCUAAUACCCCGGGGGGAUGACGGUACCGGAAGAAUAAGCACCGGCUAACUACGUG